UAAAAAUGCGUCUACACAACAAGAUAACCGUCAUUUUCAACCAGUUUGAAAUAUUGCUGUGAGUAAUUCUACAGUCAGGAGCAGACACAGCGAGCUGUUAGAUAAAGAGCUGCAGGCGACAGGCUGCUCACCUCCACCUUCUGAGCCAGAGUAUUGAGUGGCACUACAGCUAUCCAAGAUGUUUGCUGAGUUCAUCGCUUUACAAAUGUUGAACCUAUGCAACCAAUUCUACUGCGAGCUUGAGAGAUACACACCACAACUGAUUGCCCUGUACAGGCAGAAGGCCAAGAGAGCAGAGGCCCAGCAGAGAUCCUAAGGAUUUAUGACCUUCAGAACUGCCCUUUUCCAGUAAAGGACCUGACAGGAGAGCCCAUGAAUGAACUACAGAGUGAAGCAUGAAGCCAGGAGAGAAACCACGGUUGCCUUCUAGCUGUAAAUAACAUACAGGGACAAGCUACAGAAAGGUGAUGUUUAUGCUACUAAAAUGCUAACUAGCAUACUUUAACUUCACACAAUUACUGUGUCUUAGUUCGGAUACUUCCUUUAGUACACUUACAUGUAGUACUCUUUGUACACUAUGGGCCACAUUGAAGGUUUGUGUGAGUAAAGACGUGUGCAAACUUGGUAUCACAAGCAAAUUAACAUGUAAGCUGAUCUACUAACGGUGUGCAUGGAGAAUGACGUCUUCCAAAAGUGCAAGAUAACACCUGUUAUUCAUUUAUUACUUUUGCCUUAAUGAAUAUGCAAUUUGGGGCAU
Long non-coding RNA from Micropterus salmoides (largemouth bass), 757 nucleotides. RefSeq lists it as uncharacterized. The transcript has 4 exons. NCBI's taxonomy places the organism in Eukaryota, Metazoa, Chordata, Actinopteri, Centrarchiformes, Centrarchidae. The record is from RefSeq and is a predicted model, not a curated record.